UAACUGAAGAGUUUGAUCAUGGCUCAGAUUGAACGCUGGCGGCAGGCUUAACACAUGCAAGUCGAGCGGGGGAAGGUAGCUUGCUACCGGACCUAGCGGCGGACGGGUGAGUAAUGCUUAGGAAUCUGCCUAUUAGUGGGGGACAACAUCUCGAAAGGGAUGCUAAUACCGCAUACGUCCUACGGGAGAAAGCAGGGGAUCUUCGGACCUUGCGCUAAUAGAUGAGCCUAAGUCGGAUUAGCUAGUUGGUGGGGUAAAGGCCUACCAAGGCGACGAUCUGUAGCGGGUCUGAGAGGAUGAUCCGCCACACUGGGACUGAGACACGGCCCAGACUCCUACGGGAGGCAGCAGUGGGGAAUAUUGGACAAUGGGGGGAACCCUGAUCCAGCCAUGCCGCGUGUGUGAAGAAGGCCUUAUGGUUGUAAAGCACUUUAAGCGAGGAGGAGGCUACUCUAGUUAAUACCUAG
This 467-nucleotide ribosomal RNA is filed under the name Acinetobacter baumannii. RNAcentral's name for it is "bacterial SSU rRNA". It matches the Rfam family "Bacterial small subunit ribosomal RNA", at positions 1 to 466 of the family's 1533-position model. Lineage: Bacteria; Pseudomonadati; Pseudomonadota; Gammaproteobacteria; Moraxellales; Moraxellaceae. The record is from RNAcentral.